Molecule: unclassified non-coding RNA, 221 nt
Filed under: plant metagenome
Description: partial contains small subunit ribosomal RNA, internal transcribed spacer 1, and 5.8S ribosomal RNA
Source: RNAcentral
CGUAGGUGAACCUGCGGAAGGAUCAUUAGUGAAUUGAAUAUGUUAGCGGACCUCUUCGGAGUCCCUAGCAUCAAAUCAUAUCCAUAACACCUGUGAACUGUAAGGCUGUCUUGAAAACGAAAGUGAUUAGAGCGCCUGCCCAUUUUAUACAAACAUUAAAGUAACAAACGUAGUCUUAUUAUAAUCUAAUAAAACUUUCAACAACGGAUCUCUUGGCUCCC